UUCAAUAGCCGUGUUUCGAGUUCCUCCGGAACACCCGGGAUUUUUCGUAUUUAGCCACGCCGGUCACGUGAUAUGAGCAAAAUGUUCCACAGGGGUACUUCCGGUUAAUUUUGUUUACACUGGUAACAAAAUUGUUUUUGACAAAAUAUAGAUUUUGCGGCACAAACUGUCGCAAAUCAGAUAAAGGAUAGCAAGGGAUAUAUAUUUACUUGGGAAGAUGUCAAAGUUUGCCUUUUCCCAAACCCGGGAAAAGCGUUCACGCAGAGGAAACGGUGGCGUCAUUUGUGUAGAAAACCACGAGCAGCCGAAAUUGAGUGCGAAUAUUACAUUCCGUGAAAGCUGAACCAACAAAGAAACAUCAUUGUUCUAGCCAGUUUCCUUAUAUUAACUUUUAGGAAAACCAAGAGGUUGAUAACAAUGGCUGAUCUGCAUAUAAUGACUGCUAGUUAUUGGCUGGUAUGCAGUGAAAGGGAGCUAAAAAGGAGUAAAAAGUUCAUAUCAGCCAGGUAGUGUGGCUUAAAUAAACCAGUGUUAAGGAAUAUCCAGUAAUGGCAUGACAUCAUGAGAGUUUGGCAUACCGACAUUCAGAUGAUUAAUGAUGAAACUGAAGACCUCAAGUGAAAGGCAUGGAAAAUGAUCCUGUUCCCAUAUACCUGAAAAAGAGGAGGGAUGCCACAAUAUUGAUAAUAGACUUUUGUCAAUAUGUAUAAAAAAAAAAAAAAAAAAAAAAUAAAAAAAAAAUAAUAAUAAUAAUAAUGCUGAAAUUAUAAUUCAUGUAUUUGUUAAAAAUACUGUUCACUGUACAUACAUGUAUAUUUUUUUUAAACUUAUUUGGAAAUACAUGAAGUAAUUCAUAUUAAAACUGUGAAUGUA
This is a long non-coding RNA of Ostrea edulis (European flat oyster), 873 nucleotides long. RefSeq lists it as uncharacterized. The transcript has 3 exons. The record is from RefSeq and is a predicted model, not a curated record. NCBI's taxonomy places the organism in Eukaryota, Metazoa, Mollusca, Bivalvia, Ostreida, Ostreidae.